UACGGAAGGGGCUAGCGUUGUUCGGAAUUACUGGGCGUAAAGCGCGUGUAGGCGGCAAGGCAAGUCGGAUGUGAAAGCCCACGGCUCAACCGUGGAAGUGCACCCGAAACUGCCUCGCUAGAGUCUCGGAGAGGAAGGUGGAAUGCUUGGUGUAGAGGUGAAAUUCGUAGAUAUCAAGCGGAACACCGGUGGCGAAGGCGGCGACCUGGACAGGUACUGACACUCAACUACGAAAGCGUGGGGAGCAAACAGG
Molecule: ribosomal RNA, 253 nt
Filed under: uncultured bacterium
Lineage: Bacteria
Description: partial 16S ribosomal RNA
Rfam family: Bacterial small subunit ribosomal RNA
Source: RNAcentral